GGACCACUUCCUGGGCCACUUCCUGGAAGGAGGAGGAGGCUUCCUGGACCACUUCCUGGAUGCUUCCUGGAACACUUCCUGGAUGGAGGAGGAUGCUUUUUGGAUCACUUCCUGGAAGGAGGAGGAUGCUUCCUGGACCACUUCCUGGAAGGAGGAGGAGGCUUCCUGGACCACUUCCUGGAAGGAGGAGGAGGCUUCCUGGACCACUUCCUGGAAGGAGGAGGAUGCUUCCUGGACCACUUCCUGGAUGCUUCCUGGACCACUUCCUAGAAGGAGGAGGAUGCUUCCUGGACCACUUCCUGGAAGGAGGAGGAUGCUUUUUGGACCACUUCCUGGAAGGAGGAGGAUGCUUCCUGGCCCACUUCCAGGAAGGAGGAUGCUGGACUUCCAGGAAGGAGGAGGAUGCUUUUUGGACCACUUCCUGGAAGGAGGAGGAGGCUUCCUGGACCACUUCCUGGAAGGAGGAGGAGGCUUCCUGGACCACUUCCUGGAAGGAGGAGGAGGCUUCCUGGACCACUUCCUGGAAGGAGGAGGAUGCUUCCUGGACCACUUCCUGGAAGGAGGAGGAGGCUUCCUGGAACACUUCCUGGAAGGAGGAGGAGGCUUCCUGGAACACUUCCAGGAAGGAGGAGGAUGCUUCCUGGACUACUUCCGGGAAGGAGGAGGAGGCUUCCUGGACCACUUCCAGGAAGGAGGAUGCUGGACUUCCAGGAAGGAGGAGGAUGUUUUUGGACCACUUCCUGGAUGGAAGAGGAUGCUUCCUGGACCACUUCCUGGAAGGAGGAGGAGGCUUCCUGGACCACUUCCUGGAAGGAGGAGGAUGCUUUUUGGACUACUUCCUGGAUGCUUCCUGGACCACUUCCAGGAAGGAGGAUGCUGGACUUCCUGGAAGGAGGAGGAUGUUUUUUGGACCACUUCCAGGAAGGAGGAUGCUGGACUUCCUGGAAGGAGGAGGAUGCUUCCUGGACCACUUCCUGGAUGGAAGAGGAUGCUUCCUGGAACACUUCCUGGAAGGAGGAGGAUGCUUCCUGGAACACUUCCUGGAAGGAAGAGGAGGCUUCCUGGGCCACUUCCUGGACUACUUCCUGGAUGCUUCCUGGAAGUAGGAGGAGGCUUCCUGGAACACUUCCUGGAAGGAGGAGGAGGCUUCCUGGAACACUUCCGGGAAGGAGGAUGCCUGGGGGACCCCGGGUUUCGGGUCCCCGUUCUCUCUCUGUCGGAAGUGUCUCUCUCUCUCUCUUCCUCUCUCUCUCUCUCAGUAAGUGAUAAUAAAAGUCCUGAGAUUAGAGCGAGUCAGAGCCUCCUUGGGGGGGAGGAGAGAGUCAAAGCCAACAAAGUCCAACAGCCAGCGCCGCCUCUCUCUCUCUCUCCCUCUCUCUCUCCCCCUCUCUCUCUCCCUCUUUCUCUCUCUCCCUCUCUCUCUCUCUCCCUC
This 1432-nucleotide long non-coding RNA is filed under the name Meriones unguiculatus (Mongolian gerbil). Its description in RNAcentral is "lncRNA (ENSMUGG00000001703.1)". Lineage: Eukaryota; Metazoa; Chordata; Mammalia; Rodentia; Muridae. The record is from RNAcentral.